This 133-nucleotide ribosomal RNA is filed under the name Gallus gallus (chicken). RNAcentral describes it as "partial 18S ribosomal RNA". It matches the Rfam family "Eukaryotic small subunit ribosomal RNA", at positions 1678 to 1804 of the family's 1831-position model. The record is from RNAcentral. RNAcentral also lists the same sequence under 1 other name. Lineage: Eukaryota; Metazoa; Chordata; Aves; Galliformes; Phasianidae.
GCUACUACCGAUUGGAUGGUUUAGUGAGGUCCUCGGAUCGGCCCCGGCGGGGUCGGCCACGGCCCUGCCGGAGCGUCGAGAAGACGGUCGAACUUGACUAUCUAGAGGAAGUAAAAGUCGUAACAAGGUUUCC